This 1284-nucleotide unclassified non-coding RNA is filed under the name Penaeus monodon (black tiger shrimp). RNAcentral describes it as "polyribonucleotide nucleotidyltransferase 1, mitochondrial-like, transcript variant X1". Lineage: Eukaryota; Metazoa; Arthropoda; Malacostraca; Decapoda; Penaeidae. The record is from RNAcentral.
AACACUUUGUGAAAUACGACUGCAAAGUAUCUUUACCGAUUUCUCCCAUAACAAGUUAUCAAGGGAUGAAGCUGUUAACAAACUACGAGGUGAUGUAACACAGAAAUUAAUGCAGGGAUUUCCAGGCACGGAUUCAUUGAUUGCAAAUGAAGUUUUCUCAAGAACAGCAAAAAAUGUUUUUAGAAACCUAAUUUUGGAUGAGGAUAUAAGAUGCGAUGGAAGAUCCCUUCAUGAUAUGCGAAUGAUCAGCUGUGAAGUUGACCUUUAUCGCACCUUACAUGGUUCUGCCCUCUUUCAGCGAGGCCAGACACAAGUCCAGUGCACAGUAGCAUUUGAUGCGCCAGAAAAUAUACCUAAAUUAGACCCAUUAUUGGAGGCAACAGGGGGACACAAAGACAGAAAUUUUAUUCUACAUUACACCUUCCCAUCAUUUGCUACAAAUGAAGUCUCAAGAAGUGGCCCUGUGUCACGGAGGGAAGUUGGCCAUGGGGCAUUGGCAGAAAAAGCUCUACGCCCACUUCUUCCAACAAACUUCCCUUUUGCAAUCCUUCUCACAUCCACUGUCAUGGAGUCUAAUGGUUCCUCAUCUAUGGCAACUGUUUGUGGUGGAAGUCUUGCCCUUAUGGAUGCUGGCGUGAAUCUGUCUUCUCCAGCAGCAGGGGUUGCUGUAGGGCUUGUAACACGUUAUAAUACCAGUGAACAGCUUCAGGAAUACAAGAUUUUGACUGAUAUACUGGGUAUAGAAGACUAUAUGGGAGAUAUGGACUUCAAACUUGCAGGAACUCAUAAAGGCAUUACAGCUCUCCAGGCAGAUGUGAAAGUUCCGGGAAUUCCUCUUAAAGUAGUUAUGGAGGCCAUACAGCAAGGCACAGAGGCUAAAGGUGCUGUCCUAGCCAUUAUGAGAGAAACAUUAGCCCAGCCAUGUGAACAGAACAAGGAAACAAUGCCAGCUCUAGAGAAAAUAGUUGUGCCACCAAAUAAGAGGAGUAGGGUCAUGGGCCCUGGUGGUAUCAAUAUUCGCAAGUUGCAGUCUGAGACAGGAGUUCAGCUACAAUUGUUGAGUUGAGGCCCCAGGGGGUUAUGGUAACUCUUUAUGAUGACAUGCCACCUGUCUUACUCCAUAAUUCUCAGUUGGACACUAGAAAGAUCCAGCAUCCUAGUGUUCUUAGUCUUGAAGCUGGCCAGCAAAUCAAGGUUAAAUAUUAUGGCAGAGAUCCAGCCUCAGGUCACAUGAGGAUCUCUCGACGAGCACUCCAGGCUUCCAACAUAGUUGCAAGAAAUCUG